RNAcentral lists this ribosomal RNA (253 nucleotides) under uncultured bacterium. Its description in RNAcentral is "partial 16S ribosomal RNA". It matches the Rfam family "Bacterial small subunit ribosomal RNA", at positions 524 to 776 of the family's 1533-position model. The record is from RNAcentral.
UACGUAGGGGGCAAGCGUUGUCCGGAAUUAUUGGGCGUAAAGAGCGUGUAGGCGGCCAGAUAAGUCCGCUGUGAAAUCUCGAGGCUCAACUUCGAGCUGUCGGUGGAAACUAUCUGGCUAGAGUCCGGAAGAGGAGAAUGGAAUUCCUGGUGUAGCGGUGAAAUGCGCAGAUAUCAGGAGGAACACCAAUGGCGAAGGCAGCACUCUGGGACGUGACUGACGCUGAGACGCGAAAGCGUGGGGAGCAAACAGG